Oreochromis aureus is the source of this 966-nucleotide long non-coding RNA. RefSeq lists it as uncharacterized. Lineage: Eukaryota; Metazoa; Chordata; Actinopteri; Cichliformes; Cichlidae. The transcript is spliced from 4 exons. The record is from RefSeq and is a predicted model, not a curated record.
ACUGUACGUUAUCAUAUUUCCAUGGUAACUCUGCCUUGCUGAACUGCUUGCUUCCUCUUAUUGCUUCCUUCUUUUGACUUACAGCGUUAAUUCUGUAAAACACAUUCAAGUCUAUAAACAGCUGCUGUGUUUGCAGCUGUGCUCUGCUCUCUAAACAUGUAGCCAUGGAAAUGAGUAACUAAGUAUGUAAGUGUGAUUUUUAGUUACCAAGUGUAGCUAAAAGGCACUGUCGUUAGUUAUUAAUACAGCAGUGACAACUACUUGUAAGUAAACAGAGAGAAGCUGAGAAAGGGGGCAGGACUUCAUCUCGUCUCACGGUCACUUCUGGUUAAGGACACAUUUCUAUUUUAACUUUUGCACGCUUACUUUCUGUGAGUGAAUUUAUGACUAAUCUACGAUGUCACCACAGUGGAAAGAUACGUUAAAGGAAUCUGCAUUAGUUUAAUGAAAUAAAAAAUAAAAUUACUGUCAGUUCUUGAUUUUACUGCUGUGUGAGAAAGUGUGUGGAUUACCAACACCUGCUGUGAACAUUUGCUGUCAAAAGUUGUAGAAGUUUUCAGACGUGUCACUGCUGGAUGUGAGGAUGGGAGCCACUUUGCUCUGUGAGCUGGGCCUAUUCUUGCUCUGUACGCUCCUCUGCACUGGACACGCUCAAGAUGCUGUACUAACUAUUGAACCCAGCUGGUCCAGUUAUUUCAUUGGAGAGUCUGUUACCUUCAAAUGUGACAUGAAUGAAGGAAAAGACACUGACUGGUAUUAUACAAUCAACAAUGAUGGUCGAGACUAUGUCAGCUACAGUGAAUACAAAGUCUACACUUUACAAAUUAGAUCAGGUGACAGUGGUACAAAUCAGUGCUCUGGUAUUUGGAAGCGGUCACAUUAUACAAAGAUCAGUAAUAAUGUCUCUAUAACUGUAUUAGGUAAGUCCUCAGUGAAUAAUAAUGUGAUGAUUCCAGUUAAAAUACU